AAAUUGAAGAGUUUGAUCAUGGCUCAGAUUGAACGCUGGCGGCAGGCCUAACACAUGCAAGUCGAACGGUAACAGGAAGCAGCUUGCUGCUUUGCUGACGAGUGGCGGACGGGUGAGUAAUGUCUGGGAAACUGCCUGAUGGAGGGGGAUAACUACUGGAAACGGUAGCUAAUACCGCAUAACGUCGCAAGACCAAAGAGGGGGACCUUCGGGCCUCUUGCCAUCGGAUGUGCCCAGAUGGGAUUAGCUAGUAGGUGGGGUAACGGCUCACCUAGGCGACGAUCCCUAGCUGGUCUGAGAGGAUGACCAGCCACACUGGAACUGAGACACGGUCCAGACUCCUACGGGAGGCAGCAGUGGGGAAUAUUGCACAAU
This 375-nucleotide ribosomal RNA is filed under the name Escherichia coli. RNAcentral describes it as "bacterial SSU rRNA". It matches the Rfam family "Bacterial small subunit ribosomal RNA", at positions 1 to 372 of the family's 1533-position model. Lineage: Bacteria; Pseudomonadati; Pseudomonadota; Gammaproteobacteria; Enterobacterales; Enterobacteriaceae. The record is from RNAcentral.